RNAcentral lists this ribosomal RNA (198 nucleotides) under uncultured bacterium. RNAcentral's name for it is "partial 16S ribosomal RNA". It matches the Rfam family "Bacterial small subunit ribosomal RNA", at positions 328 to 539 of the family's 1533-position model. The record is from RNAcentral.
ACGCUCGACACCUACGGGGGGCAGCAGUGAGGGAUAUUGGUCAAUGGGGGAAACCCUGAACCAGCAACGCCGCGUGAGGGAUGACGGUCUUCGGAUUGUAAACCUCUGUCCUCUGUGAAGAUAAUGACGGUAGCAGAGGAGGAAGCUCCGGCUAACUACGUGCCGGCAGCCGCGGUAAUCUGAGCGGGCUGGCAAGGC